GACGUAGGGUGCAAGCGUUGUCCGGAUUUACUGGGCGUAAAGCGCACGUAGGCGGCUUGUUAAGUCAGGGGUGAAAUCCUGGAGCUCAACUCCAGAACUGCCUUUGAUACUGGCGAGCUUGAGUUCGGGAGAGGUGAGUGGAACUGCGAGUGUAGAGGUGAAAUUCGUAGAUAUUCGCAAGAACACCAGUGGCGAAGGCGGCUCACUGGCCCGAUACUGACGCUGAGGUGCGAAAGCGUGGGGAGCAAACAGG
Molecule: ribosomal RNA, 253 nt
Filed under: uncultured bacterium
Lineage: Bacteria
Description: partial 16S ribosomal RNA
Rfam family: Bacterial small subunit ribosomal RNA
Source: RNAcentral